AUUUUAACGAUCUUUGGUCAUUAACUGAAAAAGGGGCAAAAUUUUGCCCGCUCCCAAAUCACCAAUGGCAACAGCAACAGCCGCCUUUUCUUUGUUCUCUGCGAACUCUAUUUUCUCUAACAAACAGACCCCUUUUUUUCCUCUCUCUCUUCCACAUAAACGCACUCUCGCUGCUUCUCAAAACCGCCCCGUUGCACGAAAAUCUUCCGAUAAUGGCACCGUUGCAGGUAUAAUUGGCGUGGGUUUGGCCUCCUUAGCGGGACCCGCCUCAGCUUCGGGUUUACCGUUGCUGGGUCAACUCAGUGAACCCGCCAACGCAUUAUCUUUGCCCACUUGGGCUAUUCAUGUUUCCAGUGUUGUUGAGUGGUGAGUUCCCCGCUCCUUCCGUCUCGUAACGCUUCAGUUCAUUUCGGGUCAUUUUGUGGCGAUUAUUAUCCUUACUUUGAGAUGUUUAUAGUGGGUUUCAUUCGGUGUGGUCUAAUCUUGGACUUUUUAUUGAUUUGGUUUAAAUUAAGUUAGCGUAAUACAGAUCAACUCAUAAUCUUACUGAAAAAUGAACAAUUGUACUCAACUUAGCUAACGUGCUGAUUUUUGUUUCCAUUUGGUUAAUGAAAAAAUAGUGACCAAAUAUGACACUUGUUUCAAUAGUUAAACUUUCAGAAAUGUGCCAUGGACAAUGCUUUCAACUAGCCACCUUUUUUGGGUGAUUUAGGCCCGAAUCAUUUCUUAUCAUGGUAUCAUAGCCUGCUCUGGUUUCCAUCUGCUACCUGCACAUGUUCAGUCCUGCAAGCUUCCUUCAGGGCGUGAGGUUGUCCUGCGUAAGGGCGCUUUAUAGCCUUGGGCACUCUUUCCUUUGAGUUAGGUUUGGUCUAUUUUCCCACAUUGGUUAGGUAUGUGUUAACGUGGCCUUUAUAAAGAUUUUGGGCAAUCGUUCUUCGAGCUAGCUUUGGGUGAGUUAGGCCUGGUCAUUUUCUUAUCACCUUUCCCCUAUGCUUUCUCAACAACAGUACAGGAUGCUUCUUCACACUUUGUUUCAUUUUCUUUGUACCCUUAUUUUAAAUGUUUUAAUGGCGAAGUGUUUGCUAACAGGAUUACAGCAAUGGCUUUGGUGUGGCAUUAUGGAGAGAAAUCUGGGUUUGAAACUUGGAAGGGACUCUCUUGGGGUAUGGUGAGUUACUCUGCUGAGUAUUGCAAAUUUGAUGUCAUUGUUUAGAAAAUUGGAUGAUUGAAAUCAUCUUUUGAUUAAAUUUUACACCGUGGUGAUGAUUCCUAGUAGAUUUAUUCAGAAUCAGAAGCUGUUUGCUUCAUCAAAACAUUCACUGCUGAUAAAACGAUAUGUGCUUAUGUAUUGCGAGACUGAGAAUGGCAUAAAAUUGCUAUGGUAAGCAAAAAAAAAAUGAUGCAAUUCAACUGGCAUGCAAAUCAGAAUUGGUGCUUUAAUUCCAUUAGGUGUUUCUUCUGUAACUUCUGUUAAUGUUUUUAUGUAUACUGAUUUGUUGAGCUGCAUACUUUUGAGUGCUUGCAACUCUAUGUUUGUUAUUUUUUAUGCUAUACCUUGGGUUCUUUGGGUCUCAAAACUGAUGACUGAAUUUGAUUGUCUUCUUGAUUUCUUGCCUGUUUCUCUGAUUCACUUGGGUGUUGAGACAAGUAAAGAAUCUGGAGUUUGAACAUUUAAGAAGAAUUUCCUUCUUUAGUUUUGGUAUUACUGUGUCUGCCAUACUUGAACUUAAUAUGGUGUACUCAGUUUGUUCAUUUGGGGUUUUGAUUUAACUACAUGCCUAACAUAUCCUUGUCUAGGUCUGUAAUUUUUGCAGUAUUGUUGUAAUUAAAAUCUAUCUGAUUCUCAUUUUAUUUUUUUUUCUAAUAUAAUUAACAAAUUUAGGUACCUCUGCUUGGUGGAGCAUUUUGUGCAUGUACAUGGCAUUUCUUUUAUAAUUCUGAAUCUCUAGAGGUAAGAAUGGUUCUUUCUUUCUACUGUGAAAAAAAAGAUUUGUGUUUAUAGUGACACAUAUUAGAAAUUAAUCAAAUUGAUUGGAAUACAAGAAAUGACUGACACAUGAACUAAUUAAAUGAAAGUUUAGUCUCAGUGGUGAUGCAUGAGUUUGUUGUGGAUAACUUUAUCAUACUGGGAACAUGAAAUUUGAGUUUUGGAAAAUUCUGGUUGUCCUUGUACAGUCUGAGAACUGAACCUGAAUUUUCUAGAUAGUUAUAAAAAAUUACACUAUUAUUGUGUAAUUUAUUAUUAAAACAACCUUAACAUUCUGUGUAAUUAUUGCGCAAUAAUUAGUAUGUGACCUUAUGUAAUUGGAACAGUUGUUUCCUGGGUGGUUGACAACAAAACUAAUUUCAGUCCCAAUACUUAACAUUGGCCAUAGUACAAGCUCAAUUGAUGUCAAUUUUUGGGCCCAGGGAACUAUUGCUAUGCCAGGCUGUUUUUAGACUAAUAAAACCUCUUUGGUUGCUUGCUUAAUAUUUCUUUAUGACCAACCUAACCAAACUUAUCUAUAAAUGGCUUGAGUGCACUCUGCAGAAUGGAUCAGAAAUAAGCAUCCUUUGUAUAACCACAGUGCUUUUCAUGGUGUAGAAAAGGAGUUCAUACUGUCAUAACUCAUAAUACUUUUAGGGCAUCUCGUAUCUCAUUUAGUUUAUAUUAAAGGUACUUAUUGAAUUGCAUAAUUUAUCUAUGCAUGAAAGACUGCGGUUACAAGUUUGCUAGGCCCCGUUGUACUCUUUAGACCCUUCCCCAAAUUUCAAUCUAAUCAUCUCCCACAGUUGAACUAAAUUUAGAGUGUUGAUUUUGGUGAGUUGUAGGUGUUGGUGGCUCUUCAAGCAGCAUUGACAGUGAUAGGUAAUGCCACAAUGUGCAUUGCUGCAUUCCGAAUAUACAAAUCAACAGAGGAACGUCCCAAGAAUCUCUGAGAGGUUGCGGGUCAGUACGCCACACAGUGUCUGAAAAUGUUGUUUCCUGUAUCUGUUGUUUACUUGCAAGGUAAGGCUACCUCAGUAGAGCUCUAACAAAAAAUUGAACUGAUGAUAUUACAUGAACAAACACACGCAUAUAUAUAUAUAUGCGUACAUACAUGUACAUGUAUAGCUGUGUAUGUGUGGUGUUGUUACAGAUAUAUACAAAACAUUUUACUUGCUUGCUUUCAGAUGGGAUAUACCAUGCAGGAAACUUCACAAUUCAGGACAAAAGUGGGUUCUGUGAGUUAGCUAGAACUUACAAGUAAAAUGUAGUUGUCUUAUUAUUAUUAUUAUUCUUUAAAAUAUAACUAUGGGAAGGUGUAAUUCUGUCCUGUGCUUGCUGGAGAAUGGUUGGGAGGAGCCUCACAGUCAAAAUGCCAGUUUAUUUUGAGUUGUAUCUAUAGUAUUUGAUAUCAACCAUGAUGCU
Molecule: unclassified non-coding RNA, 3391 nt
Filed under: Hevea brasiliensis (rubber tree)
Lineage: Eukaryota; Viridiplantae; Streptophyta; Magnoliopsida; Malpighiales; Euphorbiaceae
Source: RNAcentral